AAUAAGUUUAUUUAUGGGUUUGUGUCUAACAUUAGACUUUACUUCUUGUUUGAAAUUUUUUUAUAAUUAAUAUUUUUGUCGUUAUUACUUAUUAGAUAACAAAACAUAAAUAGUAUUUUAUACAUGACUUUUUUUUAAUUUUUGCAUAAAAUUUUCAAAUAAGUCAGAUGGACAAACGUUGGACACAGAAACUCACAAAUGAAUUUAUU
RNAcentral lists this microRNA precursor (209 nucleotides) under Oryza meridionalis. RNAcentral describes it as "MIR812 microRNA precursor family". It matches the Rfam family "MIR812 microRNA precursor family". Lineage: Eukaryota; Viridiplantae; Streptophyta; Magnoliopsida; Poales; Poaceae. The record is from Rfam by way of RNAcentral.